RNAcentral lists this small RNA (92 nucleotides) under Otolemur garnettii (small-eared galago). Its description in RNAcentral is "Y RNA (ENSOGAG00000023690.1)". The record is from RNAcentral. Lineage: Eukaryota; Metazoa; Chordata; Mammalia; Primates; Galagidae.
GGCUGGCCCAAGGGCAAUGGUGUUUAUGACUAACUGAUCACGCCCAAUUACAGAUUUCCUUGAAUCCCACUAUUUCACUUGAAUAGACUUUU